UUACGUUCCAGUUGAACGCCUUAUCAAAUCUUAUCAUCACGAGUACUUAUCAAUGUGCACUUAGUUUGGAAAUUUCAGUCGUAGAUGUUGUGUUAAAAAGUUUAAUUAUAAAGAUUGUGUGAACUAAAUGUAAAUGAACUUAUAUAACAUUAGUGUUAGAGUGAGAUGAUAGUGUGGUGGUAAUGGAGGAAAACAAAUAUAAUAGUUUACCACGCCUCAGACGCAAGCACACAUGGAGAAGGUCAGGGCUGGACACAUGGUUCGGAAGGCCGAAGAAAGCUGGCGGGGGCAUGGAGCGGGGGUACGAUACGGUUCCCCGGGCUGAGUUACGUGGUGAUGAGGAGCCUCCUUUGGAGUAUAAGAGCAAGAUUGAUGCCCUUGAUGAUGAACAGUUGGAGAGCCGAUUUGAGGAGAUGCUGACGGACAUGAACAUAGGGGAAAAGAAGAAGGAGCCGUUAAGAAAAUAUUCAAGUGACCAGAAGAAAAAAAUGUUGGUCGCGUAUAAAUUUGUUAAUACACAGGAAGGUCGUUCGAAAUUUGAAAAACCAUCAGACUACGUGACCUACCUCAAUCAGCCAGAGUUAUCAGUUGGGAAGUUGCACAGUUGUUUAGAGAAUCUACGUAUUUCACUAACGAAUAACCCGUUGUCGUGGAUCGAAGAGUUUGGGACUAAGGGCAUUGAGAGUUUGCUGACCACACUCAAUGUUUGUUAUACGAAUGAUUCCCGCUACGAUCGCGUACAAUACGAGUGUAUCCGAUGUUUGUCAGCUAUUUUAAACAAUACGGUCGGUAUUCGAGCUGUGUUUGAAUGUCGGGAGGCCUUGCCGGUACUGGCUAGAAGUCUGGACGCAAGGAAGCCCCAUUGUGCUUUGGAAGCUGCUAAGGUGCUAGCUGCAAUAUGUCUGAUACCGAAUGGCCACGAGAAAGUCCUAGAAGCGAUAACAAUGGCCGGCGAGUCGAGUCGAAAACCAAGAUUGCUACCCAUUGUGGAGGGACUUCAUCCCAAGGCGCCUGAGAGUUUAAAGAACGGUUGCAUGCAACUGAUGAAUGCAAUAAUAACGGAGCCGGAAGAAUUGGAGUUCCGAAUGCAUUUGAGGAGCGAAUUUAUGAGAACUGGACUUUAUGAUCUGAUUGAGGAUUUAAGAGCGGGUGCGGAAGAUGGCGGUCGUCUGAUUCAAAUGAACGUCUUUGAUACUUACGCUACUGCCGACCAAGAGGAGUUUCUCGCUAAGUUUGAUGAUGUCAGAGUGGACUUCCAAGACGUGAAUGAGUGCUUCGAGCUGGUGAAGAAUCUGGUACUAGAAACUCCAGCAGAACCGUUCUUGCUCUCCAUAUUACAACACCUGCUAUUCAUCAGAGAUGAUGAGCUUAUAAGACCUGCAUACUACAAGCUAAUAGAGGAAUGUGUAACUCAAAUAGUAUUACACAAAAAUGGCUACGACCCCGACUUCAGACUGACACAACGAUUCAAUAUUGAUGUACAGCCUUUGAUUGAUGGACUUAUUGAAAAGUCUAGAGCAGAGGAAGAAAAGAAGCUCGAAGAGUUAAAAAGCAAACUGGAAGUGGCCAUCUCGGCCCGACAGGAAGCAGAGGCCAGGGUGACACAUCUAGAAGAGAGGAUGAAAAGUAUAUCUACGCCGAGUGGGCCUGGUGGAGUGUCUCAGGGAAAUAUCGCUGCUAUUGCUAAGGCAAUCGGUAGCCCCGGAGGUCCACCACCGCCGCCGCCGCCGCCUAUGCCUGGAGGAGGGCCACCACCACCGCCGCCGCCACCAUUGCCCUCAGGUGGUCCCGCGCCACCACCUCCGCCUCCUAUGCCUUCAGGAGGGUCAGCGCCACCGCCGCCCCCGUUCCCAGGAAUGGGGGGUCCACCAUCGCCCCCUAUGCCAGGAAUGGGUCCGCCCCCACCGCCCCCUCCCCCAGGAAUGGGACCAAGACCACCGCCCCCGCCGGGAGGCUUCAUGGCGCCUAAGAUGCCACAACCAGAUAUACUGCCUCAUGGUUUGAAGCCUAAAAAGAAGUGGGAGAUCGAAGGACCCCUGAAACGUGCCAACUGGAAAACUAUUGUGCCACAGAAAAUGUCUGAAAAGGCUUUUUGGAUUAAGGUGCAAGAAGAUAAAUUGGCGUCACCAGAUAUUUUGAGUGGCCUCGCCUUGAAAUUCUCAAGUAAACCAGUUGCUAAGAGAAACGAGGAUGCUGUCGAUAAGGUGCACACACUAAAAAAAGUGAAAGAUUUGAAAGUGCUGGAUUCGAAGGCUGCUCAAAAUCUGUCGAUCCUUUUGGGUGGUUCACUCAAACAUAUGUCGUACGAACACAUACGUACGUGUAUCUUAAAGUGCGAUACCACAGUGCUCACUGCAAAUGUUUUGGAUCUCUUGAUACAGUACUUACCUCCAGCAGACCAGUUAAAAAAACUGGCUGAACUUAAAUGUAAGAGUCAAGAACUGACUGAAGCUGAACAGUUUGCGGCGACAGUUGCAGAUAUUAAACGAUUGGUUCCGCGACUAAGGAGUUUAGCAUUUAAAGAACACUAUAGGGAGAUAAUAUCAGAAGUUAAGCCGGAUAUAGUGUCAGGUACGGCAGCCUGUGAGGAAGUAAAGUCCAGUGGCAAGUUUGCCAAAAUCCUUGAACUUCUACUCCUAUUGGGUAACUAUAUGAACACGGGGUCAAAUAACGCCGGCGCUUACGGAUUCGAGAUCAGUUUCCUUACAAAGUUAACAGCCACAAAAGACUUGGAGAACAAGCAGACAUUGUUACACUAUUUAGUGGAUACGAUAGAACAGAAAUUCCCCGACGUACUUAAUUUUGCUGAGGAGAUGCCUCAUAUUGACAGGGCAGCGAGAGUGUCAAUGGAGAGUCUACAAAAAUCCUUAAAGAAGAUGGAAAAUGACAUUCGCGCUUUAGAGACGGACCUGAAUAACGCGCGGGUGCAACAGAGCCCCGAUGACUUGUUCAACGAGUGUAUGAGCAGUUUUGCCGUUGAAGCACGUGAGCAAUGCGAUCUCCUCCACUCGAUGUUUAGGAAAAUGGAGGCAUUGUACAAGGGAAUUGCGGAGUACUACGUGUUCGAUCCUCAGAAAUAUACGUUAGAGGAAUUCUUUUCGGAUAUCAAGACGUUCAAAGAUUCAUUUGCGGCGGCAUAUCAAGACAACGUAGUAAUAAGAGAGACGGAAGAGAGAGCUAGAAGAGCAAGAGAAGCUCGUGCUACCGCUGAAAGAGAAAGAAGAGACCGCCAACAUCGGUACAAGCAGUUUGUGGACAUGGAACAUGCCCAGGAAGGUGUUAUGGAUAGUUUGAUGGAGGCGUUACAGAGUGGUUCUGCGUUCAGCAGAGAACGGCCUAGAAAGAAAGCUAAUCCCAGGGUUGCAGGAGAUGUGUCGAUUCGAUAUGGAGGCAAGCGCGUGCGACGUUCUACUUCACCAAAACUCGAGACUUACAGACAACUGAGCGAAGAGCGCAGUUGAACCGUUCCAGAUCGAGGUCCGGUCUAACUGGACCGCUUACGACUAGAGAAUUAACAAAUGAGUUGCUGAGCAACGCGUGAUGUCAUCAAUCAGUGAUAUUAGUGUAUUAUUAACUAGUUGUUAAGUCAAUGAAUGUCAUGGCCUAUUUGUACUUUUUAAUCUGUGUACGCGGUUCUAUCUGUCAAUGUCUUAGAUAAAUAUCUUGAAAGUGUGAUAAUAAAUAUUCUAAAAGAUAAUAAUAACAAAGCUAUUGGAAAAAAGAUAGCGAAUUGUCAAUCGUAAUAAAACUGAUUAAUAAAGAUAUAAACGAAAGUUGUUCAAGCUAACUGUAGUACACAAAUGCUGCCGUCAGUAGUUACUCUGAAACUUUGUUUAUUGUAAUAAACAAGAAUAAAUACAAACAAGUGGCGGAACUCGCGGUUUCGACAUUAAGGAUGCGUUUAUUAAAUCGUUAUCACUAUAGAAGUUACAGGCACAAACGCAAUUUAAUAUUUCCCAUAAUAAUAAAUCCUGUUUUUAAUUUUAUAAUUGUCUAACACCUUUUUGCCGUUACUAAAGCAAUUUUUUUCUUGGUUUACUGCUGAAAGCGAAUAGCAAAAAAGAAUAGAAUAGCUCUUCCAAAAUUUUUCUUUAGGUUUUCUGUUUCUGUCACGUUUAGUGCGAUUUUUAAUGUCAAAAGGUGAAAAGUAAGAACGAACAUAUCAAAGACAGGUAGAAGCGCGUACUCACCGGCCAGAGGGCUCUUCCAACAGGUGUAUUAUAUUAUUUGUCUUGUAAGGCAAAGGAGUAUCAGUAAACAUUAGAUUUUACUACGAAAAUGCAAGAGUAUAAAAUAAUAAUGUUUUUUUUUAUUGAACAAAACGCUAGUAAAAAAUAAUUACGAGGAAAAACAUAAAACCCACAAAAUAUUUGUGGGGAUGGUUAAGUUAUUUAUGCCUCUUUAUUUUUUCCUAAUUAUUAAAAUCUGGUAUGGAAUAAAUAAUACAAAAAAAAAUUAUGCAUUUGUCUAAUGGUUACUGAUUCGACUUUCUAUGAACAGUCUGUAUAAUUAAGAGUUUUUUUUGUAAAUCUCGCAGUAAUGUUUAGAUGCUUGUAUAGGGUGUAUUGAAGCUGUCUAUAAAAUUGUUUAGAAUAUGUAAUCUAAAAAGUUCGUGUCAAUUCCUAAAAAAAUUGAAUACCUUAGAAAUCUAUUUGCAUUGUAUAUUUUGGAUUUUUCGUAAGAAUCUCAUUAUUUUGUGUAAUAUUUUAUAGACAGCUCAUUAAUUUCGAUGCAAUUUAAUUUAUUACAGUAUUUAAACUGUCCAAUAUGAAAUAAUGAUUUCGUCCAACGUUCAAAUGUAUCGCACAAUAAAGCGAAUUAUACACUUUAUUUAUUUUGGUUUAAUAACAUUUAUACAAAUAUGUUUUGUGUAUAAACCUGAGUUUUAAAUAGAUUAUAGAAAAGAUGAAUUUAAUGGAUUAUUAAUGAUGUUGUUUUUAAAUCUAACAUUAAUUGCUUUAUGAGAUACACAAACAAAUUAAGAUUUUCUUUCUAAUAAAUAAUAUAGAAAUAAUGGUUACAUUAAAAAUUAUUAUUUUCUUGAUCAGAUCGUUUUUUUUAACAAAAGACAUAACAUGCCGAAUUGUUAACUGGCUGUCACAGGUUUGAUGUUGAUUAAAAUAGGUUUUAAAAGACAUAGGAAGUGUUUGCAUGGUCAAUUAGUAUUAUUAUUUUGGUACUUUAAAUUAAGUUAAAAACAUAAAACCCACUGCAGACAAGGUAAUGAUUAUUUUUUUUAAGUUCGUAUAUUUUUCAGUUUAGUAUUUUAAAACUGUAAGUUUAUAAGAAGCUUAACUCUUAAUCAUUAAUUUUUUCAAGCGCAAUUUACGAAAUUUUAAUACUUGAGUAUUUUCCAUGAAAAAUUGUGAUUUAAUAUGUAUUUUUGCACAAUACCCUUUCGAAAAUCAUAACAUUUUUAUGACUUAGUGAAUAUAGCAGUCGUUAACUAACGGAUUCUAUAAGAUUUCUAGCCUAAUUCAUAAACGUAGUAUAAACAGCAUUAUAGAAUUAAAAAUUCUUUAAUUUUGUAUUAAAUUUUAUUACUUUUAUUCUUGCUAUGUAGUCGUUAACGAAUGAUAAUUUAUUAUAAAACAUUAUCUGUACCGUGUUACCAUGGUUACCAUACUUACAUGAAGUGUUCAACUGUGGUAACACAAGGUACUAUUUUAAGUCCACUUUUUAU
RNA transcript from Pieris rapae (cabbage white), 5683 nucleotides. It is a transcript of the gene named protein diaphanous, with no coding region annotated. The record is from RefSeq and is a predicted model, not a curated record. Lineage: Eukaryota; Metazoa; Arthropoda; Insecta; Lepidoptera; Pieridae. The transcript is spliced from 28 exons.